Columba livia (rock pigeon) is the source of this 4969-nucleotide RNA transcript. It is a transcript of the gene named TBC1 domain family member 32, with no coding region annotated. Lineage: Eukaryota; Metazoa; Chordata; Aves; Columbiformes; Columbidae. The transcript is spliced from 35 exons. The record is from RefSeq and is a predicted model, not a curated record.
AGCCCCCCGGUGCCGGUAGCGGGAGCGGCAGCAGCUUCCCCGCCCGAGCAGGGGGGAGCAGGCAGCGGGCGAGGGCAGCCCAGCCCUCCCGCGUCCCGCCGGCCUCUCGCGAUGUCGCUACGGGCCCUGCGAGACUCGGCAGCGGGCGCUGCCAGUUGCUAAGGGCCGUCGGCCGCGGAGACGCGCGGCCGCCGGGACGAGGAGGGGAGGGCAGGGCUGCUGCUGCCUCAAGAUGUCUCACUUUACAAGCGAAGAUGAAGCUCUGUUACAGUCUAUGCUUAGACAGUUGCUGCAGAGUGUGAAGGAAAAAAUCACUGGAGCCCCAUCAGUAGAAUGUGCAGAAGAGAUUCUCUUGCAUUUGGAGGAAACAGAUGAGAACUUUCACAACUAUGAGUUCGUGAAAUAUCUUAGACAAUAUAUAAAUAAUACUGUGGGAUCUGUGAUUGAAGAAGAAACAGAAAAAUGUACUUCUGCUCAAAACCAGGGGGAAGUAUCUGGCUAUGACACACUUGUCCAACAUGUUACUAAGAAAACCCGUGAGUCAAAAGAAUACAGAGAAAUGAUGCAUGCCUUGAAGAAUGUCAUGAUGGUUGUAGUAGAAUCUUUGAUUAACAAGUUUGAAGAAGAUCGGAUGCGUAAUAAGGAGCUGGAUAGUAAAACAAGGAAUGGACGUCAGAGUGGCUGUUACACAGACAACUGUUCUGACAGUGACUCCUCACUUAACCAAAGUUAUACAUUCAUGAGUCAAGAACAGUUGCAGCUGCUUGUGGAAAGGCUUGACCCUAUUCAGCCUAAGGAAGUUCGCCAGGAAGCGUUGCAGACACUGUGCUUUGUUCCUCCCUCUGAUAUACUGAACUCUGAGGGUUGGCCAACUCUGCGUAAGCAUCUAACAGCGUCUCUGGCAGAUCCUGAUGCAACACUCGGUGAGAAAGUUCUUAGGUUCUAUGCAAAAACCUUUUCUUCUUCUCCAUUUAAUAUGACGAGAGAUGUCUAUACAAGUUUAGCAAGACACUUGGAGUUGUACUUUCUUUCCGGAGAAUAUUCUCUUCGUGUUUCAGCUGGUCUGGAUGUAUCUAACACAGAUGUAAAUCGUUUACUUAAAAAGGUCCGCCUUCUGAAUGAGUACCAAAAGGAAGCUCCAUCUUCCUGGAUUCGUCAUCCAGAAAAGUACAUGGAAGAAGUAGUGGAGAGUACCUUGUCACUUUUGUCAGUAAAACACGAGGCUAAUCCAGAUUUUUUGAGUCCAGUCUACUUCUUGGCUUUGCUAGAUAUCAAAGCAGUAUGGUUUAAAAAGUGGACGCAUGCGUAUUACAGCAGAGCAGUGGUACUUAGGCUUUUGGAAAAGAAGUAUAAGUCUUUGAUUAAUGCAGCUGUCCAGCAAUGUCUUGAUUAUUUUGAAUUUUGCAAGGCAGUAGUAAAUAAAAAAUCCAGAGUCAAUGACUUCUUCCAGCAGGACUCUAGUGAUAAACAGAACUUUUCUUACACUGGAUCAGGGUUGCAGUAUAUCUAUUUUGUUCAUUCACUGUGCCUCUUGGGAAGAUUGUUGAUCUAUAAGCAAGGCCGAAAUCUCUUCCCAGUACAGCUGAAAAAUAAGAAAGAUAAUAUAUCCAUAACCGAUCUGUUGGUAUUAUUUACUCAGCUUAUUUAUUGUUCUCCAAGUUACCCAAAGGCACCUGUGGCAGCACAUGCAGACAAUUAUUCUCCAGCAAGUCUUGUAAUGGAGAUUCUGCAAGUUUUUUGUGAUCAAACAGGAUGUACUGCUGAAUGUUUAUAUACGGAUGCAGUGAUAGAUGCCCUACUUCAUCCUGUUCAAAGUUUACUGAGUGGCACAGAGGUGUAUAUAAAUUGCCUUGAAACCACUUUAAUUGAUGUAGCUGAUAUUUUGGCAAGGAUUGCUGCUGUAGAUGAUGGUCUUUCUCUUCUUCUUUAUGGAGAAAAUGAAAAAACUGCUAAAGAAAAUCGCCCUACAGCUGUUCAUAUAAUUGUUCAGUUUACAAAGAAACUUCUUCAUGACGACAUUUCUCAUUUAUCUGGAUCCGAGCUUUUGCCAGUUGUUAAAGGAGCUUUCAUUUUUGUAUGUCGUCAGAUGUACAGCACUUGUGAAGGCCUGCAGAUGUUAAUUCCUUAUGGCUUGCAUGAAUCUAUCGCAGAGGCCUGGAAAAAGACAAGUUUGCUUUCAGAAAGAGUACCCACUCCUGUAACUGGCGUGGAGUCGACUUCAUCAAUAAGCCUGGAGUCAAAAAACACUUUGUUAUGGGAAGAGACUUUGUUAGAUGCCUUGCUAAAUUUUUCUGCCACACCCAAAGGACUAUUUCUGCUUCAUAGUACGGGUGCCUUGAAUGACUGUGUGAACUUUAUGUUCAGCAGUUUAUCAAAAAAACUCCAGGUAGAUGAAUAUGAAGAGUUUGGUAAUAGAGUGAUUGUUACACAAAUGGCAACAACACCGACAGGUGCAGUAGCUCUACAGAGUUCAGGCUUUAUAAAGGCACUUGUAACUGAACUAUGGGCUCUUUUGGAGUGUGGAAAAGAUGAUGUGAGGAUAACCCAACCUAAAUCUACUCCGGUUGACCCUAUUGACCGAAGUUGUCAGAAGUCUUUUCUGUCUCUGAUAAACUUGCUCACUUACCCUGCAGUUUUUGAGCUCCUGAGUAAACAAGAUAUACCAAAUAAACAAAUGUAUUCACUCCGAGAAGUACCUACAGAUGUUAUUGAUAUCAUUGACAGGCUUAUAAUUUUGAAUUCAGAAGCUAAAAUUCAUUCCUUAUUCAAUUAUGAACAAUCACAUGUCUUUGGUCUGAGGUUGUUAAAUGUGCUGUGCUGUGAGCUCAAUACCCUUUUACUCUUGGAGACUCAGUACAAGGUGUCACAAGUUUUACUGACUGCUCAGGAGGAAAAUGUCACAGAACCUUCAGAAGGACCAGGAGAUUUUAUAAUUGAUGCUCUAUCAGUGGAGAGGAACCAUGUUCUUGUAAGGAUAAAUCUAAUUGGAGGACCACAGGAAAGGAUUUUGCCUUCGAGAGUACUAGAUGAGGGCAAUGAUCCAUACAUUUGGCCAAUGUUUUCAUCAUUCCCUUUGCCAAGGUGCUAUCUUGCAGAAAUCCCUAGGAAAGCCAAAUUCAGACAAGAUAAAGAUCUUGAUAAGCUCUUAUUGCUCUUAAAAAGUCCAGAGAAGCAAACUGGUUGGACAGAAAUUUGUAGAAAACUCUUCUGCAAAGUCAUGAAAGCCAGACCAGAAAUCAUUAGUGGAACAAUUCUGGCAGAAUUAAUUGAAAAGUUUGUGUCGCAACUUUCUGAAAGCCAAUCAGAUUGUUAUUUCAGCACAGAAAACUAUAAAGCCACAGAUGUAGAUGUGAAGAAUGAAAGCCUUUCAUCUGUUCAGCAGCUUGGUGUUGAAAUGACAGUCAGAUAUGGAAAAUACCUAAACUUGCUGGAAGAACAUGCUGAAAAUGAUCUGUGCUUUGUGUUAAUGAAUUGUGAGAAGUUUCUGAAACAACAUCAGAGAACUGUGGUAUCCUCACUUCGCUGCUUGCAAGAACGCUCUUCUGGCUAUGACUGGUUCGCCUCUUCCAUCUUCCUCAUCAUGUCAGGGGACGGGGAGAAGACACUGACGUUCCUUCAGGAUUUUUCACGUCUUCUUGUUUCAGCAUUUCUUUGGCUACCAAGACUGCAUAAAUCUAAGUGAUCGUCUUGGUCCACUCACAGCCCUGAGUCCAGCCCUAAGGUUGUUCCAGCACAACGAAAUGUUGCUCCAUUGUUUGAAUGUGAUUGUGCUGAACAACUGUCAGUGUUGUCUUCCAUACAAGACCUUGUCAGCAUUGCAGGCAGGUUCAUCUGCCUAUUACCACAGUGGAAUCUGGCAUCCAUCCAGUCUAUUUUUGCAGUGGUCACUACAUCGAAAUGCUGCUGAAAGCUGAGUUGCCACUUGUCUCUUCAGCCUUCCACAUGUCUGGUUUCACUCCAUCUCAGAUUUGUCUUCAAUGGAUAACUCAGUGCUUCUGGAAUUACAUGGACUGGAGUGAGAUCUGUCACUACAUUGCUACAUGUAUUUUCCUGGGUCCUGAUUAUCAAAUAUAUAUGUGUAUUUCUGUGUUCAAACACCUGCAGCAAGACAUUCUGAAGCACACUGAAGCCCAAGAUCUCCAGGUUUUUCUUAAAGAAGAAGCACUCCAUGGAUUUCGAGUGAGUGAUUAUUUAGAAUACAUGGAAAGCCUGGAGACAAGCUACAGACAUAUGCUGCUGAAAGACAUGAAGAACAUAAGAGUACAGAAUACAUGAAUGAAGCAAACAAGCACUUUAUUUUCCAGGUUUUUUUACAUCCUUGAAAAGGAUGCUGAUUGAUAUAUGCGUCUCACCUAAAAUAAGUCAGUCGGUGUAAAUAUACCUACUGUAAAAUAAAUAAAGAGGGGUUUUUUUCAGGAAAAUAGUUUUUGCAAAAGGACUUAAUCUAAGUUUGAUGAUCAAAAAUCACACAUUUUUGCAGAUGGGCUGUAUGCACAGCCCCAUUUUCAGCUGGCAGAAGGCAACUUCAGAACCCACAUGUAGGACACUGAAGUGUCUUCCUUAGAACCUGCAGUAACGUUUUCUUUACAGAAUGUCUGGAAUCUCAAAAUAUUUUGAUGAGAAUAUGUGAUAUAAUUAAUGUUUUAGAAGUCUAACAGAAACCACAAAUGUUUAACUUAGAUUUAUCCAAUAUCAUUAUCCCUGUGAGACAAACUAAACAUUACUGCAAAGUUCUUGAAGAGCAAUUUCACUAGAUAAAAUGAAUGUGUGAGCACAUACACAAACUGAAAUUAUAAAAUACAUUAGAACCUGCAGUUGAAAUUUCUGUAAUUAUAUGCAACCUCAGAGUGCGCAGCACUGACAAAGGUUUUGCCACUAAUUUCUGUUUUCCUGAUUGUGCAUUUCAUAAGUUCAUAUGUUUAGGUUUUUUUUUCCUGUCUAUAAAAUAAAUGUUUGAAAUAUUUUUGGA